UGAGACGUGAGCAAGGCUGGUGCUGGGGCUUCUUCUCCUGAAGGGGCUGCAAGAGGGAAGACUUAGCCAUGUCGUCCUUGAUCAAAACGGUGAUCAGCACCGCGAAAGCCCCAGGGGUCAUUGGACCCUACAGUCAAGCUGUGUUAGUCGACAAGACCAUUCACAUUUCAGGACAGAUAGGCAUGGACCCUUUAAGUGGACAGCUUGUGUCAGGAGGGGUAGCAGAAGAAGCUAAACAAGCUCUUAAAAACAUGGGUGAAAUUCUGAAAGCUGCAGGCUGUGACUUCACUAAUGUGGUGAAAACAACCGUUCUUCUGGCUGACAUAAAUGACUUCAAUACUAUCAAUGAAAUCUACAAACAGUAUUUCAAGAGUAAUUUUCCUGCUAGAGCUGCUUACCAAGUUGCUGCUUUGCCCAAAGGUAGCCGAAUUGAAAUUGAAGCACUGCACUGGAUUGUCAACUAUGAAUUUCCUCAGCACUUGUCAGCUGAGCUCAGUUACCAGGGUUUCUGCAGAGACUGGCUCCACCUGCUUUUCUGCACCAAGAUGUUGACAACUUCUCUGUUUUUCCUUCUUGGAGCCAUCUCAACCCUCUUUGGUGGUAAGAAGGAGAUGAAGACGUCAGUCAGGUAG
Mandrillus leucophaeus (drill) is the source of this 632-nucleotide RNA transcript. It is a transcript of the gene named ribonuclease UK114 pseudogene, with no coding region annotated. NCBI's taxonomy places the organism in Eukaryota, Metazoa, Chordata, Mammalia, Primates, Cercopithecidae. The record is from RefSeq and is a predicted model, not a curated record. The transcript is spliced from 2 exons.